UUACGGCCAUAUCACGUUGAAAUACCGUUUCCCGUACGAUCACUGAAGUUAAGUAAACGUCGAGCCUGGUUAGUAUCUAGAUGGGUGACCGUUUGGGCAUACCAGGUGCUGUAA
Molecule: non-coding RNA, 114 nt
Organism: Acanthosepion pharaonis
Lineage: Eukaryota; Metazoa; Mollusca; Cephalopoda; Sepiida; Sepiidae
Source: the annotation of a GenBank genome assembly